GACGAACGCUGGCGGCGUGCUUAACACAUGCAAGUCGAACGAUGAAGAAAAGAAUUGAAGCUUCGGCAGAAAUUCAUUUCGGAUUAGUGGCAGACGGGUGAGUAACGCGUGAGCAACCUACCUCUUACAAAGGGAUAGCCUCGGGAAACCGGGAUUAAUACCAUAUAACAUUGCGACGAAGCAUUUCGAUGCAAUCAAAGCUACGGCGGUAGGAGAUGGGCUCGCGUCCCAUUAACCAGAUGGUGAGGUAACGGCUCACCAUAGUAACGAUGGGUAACCGGCCUGAGAGGGUGAACGGUCACACUGGAACUGAGACACGGUCCAGACUCCUACGGGAGGCAGCAGUGGGGAAUAUUGCACAAUGGAGGGAACUCUGAUGCAGCGACGCCGCGUGAGUGAUGAAGGAAUUCGUUUCGUAAAACUCUGUUCUAUGGGAAGAAAAGGACUGUACCAUAGGAGAAAGCUCCGGCUAAAUACGUG
Molecule: ribosomal RNA, 480 nt
Filed under: uncultured bacterium
Lineage: Bacteria
Description: partial 16S ribosomal RNA
Rfam family: Bacterial small subunit ribosomal RNA
Source: RNAcentral